UCUAGGUGCUGCUGUAGGCCCUCCUUGGUUGGUGACAGAUCUAGGUGCUGCUGGAGGCUUUCCUUGUUUGGUGACAGAUCUAGGUGCUGCUGUAGGCCCUCCUUGGUUGGGGACAGAUCUAGGUGCUGCUGUAGGCCCUCCUUGGUUGGGGACAGAUCUAGGUGCUGCUGUAGGCCCUCCUUGGUUGGGGACAGAUCUAGGUGCUGCUGUAGGCCCUCCUUGGUUGGGGACAGAUCUAGGUGCUGCUGUAGGCCCUCCUUGGUUGGUGACAGAUCUAGGUGCUGCUGGAGGCCCUCCUUGGUUGGUGACAGAUCUAGGUGCUGCUGUAGGCUUUCCUUGGUUGGUGACAGAUCUAGGUGCUGCUGUAGGCCCUCCUUGGUUGGUGACAGAUCUAGGUGCUGCUGUAGGCUUUCCUUGGUUGGUGACAGAUCUAGGUGCUGCUGUAGGCCCUCCUUGGUUGGUGACAGAUCUAGGUGCUGCUGUAGGCUUUCCUUGGUUGGUGACAGAUCUAGGUGCUGCUGUAGGCUUUCCUUGGUUGGGGACAGAUCUAGGUGCUGCUGUAGGCCCUCCUUGGUUGGGGACAGAUCUAGGUGCUGCUGUAGGCCCUCCUUGGUUGGGGACAGAUCUAGGUGCUGCUGUAGGCUUUCCUUGGUUGGGGACAGAUCUAGGUGCUGCUGUAGGCUUUCCUUGGUUGGUGACAGAUCUAGGUGCUGCUGUAGGCUUUCCUUGGUUGGGGACAGAUCUAGGUGCUGCUGUAGGCCCUCCUUGGUUGGGGACAGAUCUAGGUGCUGCUGUAGGCCCUCCUUGGUUGGGGACAGAUCUAGGUGCUGCUGUAGGCCCUCCUUGGUUGGGGACAGAAGCACCAGAUCAACAGCAGACAUUUGACUUCAGAUUCUAAUAGGGUGAGGCCGGGUGCUGCAGACUGGCGAGGGCACUAGAUGUUAUAUAUGUUGAAGACGGUGGGGCUUAAGCUGCAUCCCUGUCUCACCCCCCGACCCUGUGGAAGGAAAUGUGUGUGUGUUGCCAUAGUGAAGGCGUAGACUCAGGUUUUAUGGGUCUCUAUGUUUUUGGUUGGACACAUUUCUCAAUUUCUUUCGUAGGUUUUUGCGAUCUAUUUGUCAUUGUUGUUAAUUUUCUUAGGUUUUCUGCCUGACAUGUUUAGAUUUGAUAGGGAAGCUGAGAGGUCAAAUAUACUGUUUAGGUUUUCUACUGCCAAGUUUACACCAUCACUAUUACAGUGGAACAUUUUGUCCAGGAAGUUGUGAUCUGAUAGGAGUGUCAGUGGACUGAUCAGGAAGACCACAGACAGGUGUAACCUGCCCUCUUCUCCUCUUUCUUUCUCUCUCUUUUUUCUCUUUCUCUCUCUUUCUCUUUCUCUCUCUUUUUCUCUCUCUCUCUCUUUUUUCUCUUUCUCUCUCUCUCUUUCUCUCUUUUUUCUCUUUCUCUCUCUUUCUUUCUCUCUCUUUCUUUCCUCUCUCUUUCUCUCUUUCUUUCUCUCUCUUUCUUUCUCUCUUUCUCUCUCUUCUUUCUCUCUCUUUCUUUCCUCUCUCUUUCUCUCUUUCUCUCUUUCUUUCUCUCUCUUUCUUUCUCUCUUUCUCUCUCUUCUUUCUCUCUUUCUCUCUCUCUUUCUCUUUCUCUCUCUUCUUUCUCUCUCUCGCUCUUUCUCUCUCUCUCUCUCUUUCUCUCCCUCUUUCUCUCUCUCUCUUUCUCUCCUUUCUCUCUCUCUCUCUCUUUCUCUCGCUCUUUCUCUCUUUCUCUCUUUCUCUUUCUCUCUCUCUCUCUCUCUCUCUCUUUCUCUCGCUCUUUCUCUCUUUCUCUCUCUCUUUCU
Oncorhynchus keta (chum salmon) is the source of this 1828-nucleotide long non-coding RNA. RefSeq lists it as uncharacterized. The record is from RefSeq and is a predicted model, not a curated record. The transcript is spliced from 3 exons. NCBI's taxonomy places the organism in Eukaryota, Metazoa, Chordata, Actinopteri, Salmoniformes, Salmonidae.